RNAcentral lists this ribosomal RNA (123 nucleotides) under Tursiops truncatus (common bottlenose dolphin). The record is from RNAcentral. Lineage: Eukaryota; Metazoa; Chordata; Mammalia; Artiodactyla; Delphinidae.
GUCUGUGGCCAUACGACCCUGAAUGCGCCCACUCUCAUCUGAUCUCAGAAGCUAAGCAGGGUCAGGUCGGCCUGGUUAGUACUUAAAUGGGAGAUUGCUUGGGAAUACUGAGUGCUGUAGACU